This 430-nucleotide ribosomal RNA is filed under the name bacterium. Its description in RNAcentral is "partial 16S ribosomal RNA". It matches the Rfam family "Bacterial small subunit ribosomal RNA", at positions 355 to 776 of the family's 1533-position model. The record is from RNAcentral.
UGGGGAAUAUUGGACAAUGGGCGAAAGCCUGAUCCAGCCAUGCCGCGUGUGUGAAGAAGGCCUUUUGGUUGUAAAGCACUUUCAGCGAGGAGGAGGCUACUUAGAUUAAUACUCUAGGAUAGUGGACGUUACUCGCAGAAUAAGCACCGGCUAACUCUGUGCCAGCAGCCGCGGUAAUACAGAGGGUGCGAGCGUUAAUCGGAUUUACUGGGCGUAAAGCGUGCGUAGGCGGCUUUUUAAGUCGGAUGUGAAAUCCCUGAGCUUAACUUAGGAAUUGCAUUCGAUACUGGGAAGCUAGAGUAUGGGAGAGGAUGGUAGAAUUCCAGGUGUAGCGGUGAAAUGCGUAGAGAUAUGGAGGAAUACCGAUGGCGAAGGCAGCCAUCUGGCCUAAUACUGACGCUGAGGUACGAAAGCAUGGGGAGCAAACAGG